This 656-nucleotide ribosomal RNA is filed under the name uncultured cyanobacterium. RNAcentral's name for it is "bacterial SSU rRNA". It matches the Rfam family "Bacterial small subunit ribosomal RNA", at positions 115 to 804 of the family's 1533-position model. The record is from RNAcentral. Lineage: Bacteria; Bacillati; Cyanobacteriota.
GCGUGAGAAUCUGCCUAGAGGAUGGGGACAACCACGGGAAACUGUGGCUAAUACCCAAUGAGCGGAGACGUUAAAGAUUUAUCGCCUCUAGAGGAGCUCGCGUCUGAUUAGCUAGUUGGUGGGGUAAAAGCCUACCAAGGCGACGAUCAGUAGCUGGUCUGAGAGGACAACCAGCCACACUGGGACUGAGACACGGCCCAGACUCCUACGGGAGGCAGCAGUGGGGAAUUUUCCGCAAUGGGCGAAAGCCUGACGGAGCAAUACCGCGUGAGGGAGGAAGGCUCUUGGGUCGUAAACCUCUUUUCUCAGGGAAGAAGAAAGUGACGGUACCUGAGGAAUCAGCCUCGGCUAACUCCGUGCCAGCAGCCGCGGUAAUACGGAGGAGGCAAGCGUUAUCCGGAAUUAUUGGGCGUAAAGCGUCCGUAGGUGGCUCUUCAAGUCUGCUGUCAAAGAGUGGGGCUUAACUCCAGAAAGGCAGUGGAAACUGAAAGGCUAGAGAGCCGUAGGGGUAGAGGGAAUUCCCGGUGUAGCGGUGAAAUGCGUAGAGAUCGGGCAGAACAUCGGUGGCGAAAGCGCUCUACUGGACGGUAUCUGACACUGAGGGACGAAAGCUAGGGGAGCGAAUGGGAUUAGAUACCCCAGUAGUCCUAGCCGUA